GACGAACGCUGGCGGCGUGCUUAACACAUGCAAGUCGAACGGUAAGGCCCUUCGGGGUACACGAGUGUCGAACGGGUGAGUAACACGUGGGUGAUCUGCCCUGCACUUCGGGAUAAGCCUGGGACACUGGGUCUAAUACCGGAUAGGACCACUGCCUUCCUGGGUGGUUGUGGAAAGCUUUUGCGGUGUGGGAGGGGCCCGCGGCCUAUCAGCGUGGUGGUGGGGUGAUGGCCUACCAAGGCGACGACGGGUAGCCGGCCUGAGAGGGUGACCGGCCACACGGGGACUGAGAUACGGCCCAGACUCCUACGGGAGGCAGCAGUGGGGAAUAUUGCACAAUGGGCGCAAGCCUGAUGCAGCGACGCCGCGUGAGGGAUGACGGCCUUCGGGUUGUAAACCCCUUUCAGCACCGACGAAGCGCAAGUGACGGUAGGUGCAGAAGAAGGACCGGCCAACUACGUGCCAGCCGCCGCCGUAA
Molecule: ribosomal RNA, 478 nt
Filed under: uncultured bacterium
Lineage: Bacteria
Description: partial 16S ribosomal RNA
Rfam family: Bacterial small subunit ribosomal RNA
Source: RNAcentral